AUGGCGACCGGCGCACGGGUGAGUAACACGUAUCCAACCUGCCGAUAACUCGGGGAUAGCCUUUCGAAAGAAAGAUUAAUACCCGAUGGUAUAAUCAGACCGCAUGGUUUGAUUAUUAAAGAAUUUCGGUUAUCGAUGGGGAUGCGUUCCAUUAGGCAGUUGGUGAGGUAACGGCUCACCAAACCUUCGAUGGAUAGGGGUUCUGAGAUGAAGGUCCCCCACAUUGGAACUGAGACACGGUCCAA
RNAcentral lists this ribosomal RNA (245 nucleotides) under uncultured bacterium. Its description in RNAcentral is "partial 16S ribosomal RNA". It matches the Rfam family "Bacterial small subunit ribosomal RNA", at positions 88 to 334 of the family's 1533-position model. The record is from RNAcentral.